This is a long non-coding RNA of Trichomycterus rosablanca, 615 nucleotides long. RefSeq lists it as uncharacterized. The record is from RefSeq and is a predicted model, not a curated record. The transcript has 2 exons. Lineage: Eukaryota; Metazoa; Chordata; Actinopteri; Siluriformes; Trichomycteridae.
UUGAAUAUUUUUAUAUAGCUUUUUUUUUUUAAAGUCACAUAAUAACAGCAUUACAUAUACAUACACUUAAACUUUAAACUUUUUAAAGAAUUAAAACGAAACCAUACGUUACUAACCGCUAGAACAAAUAAAUUAGGCAAAGGUAGCACAGAAUUAUAGGCGUUCCCCGCAACGAGUCAAAACCGAUGUGCGCAUGCUCAGUAGGACAAAUCGAUGGGUAGGAUAAAUCGACAGAACACCGGAACUAAACGAUCCGGAUUUUCUGGGAAAAGUUCAUCUUCUUCAUCUUGGUAAUAACCUUGCUGAUCCGAGUGGGCUACAGACAGAGAGGGCUAAGGUAAAACUUGGCUUGAUUUGCAUGAGCUUGAAGACUUGCCUGUGAUUCCUCCUGGUGAAGGAUUGUGUAAUGUGUGACUCCCUAUCGAUGAUCAGUCAUGUAGUGUGCAAAACACAAUGACUUAAAGACUACCAAGCUCAUGACUAAUAUGAGCUCAGGUUGUGUAGUGUGAACAGUACAGCGAUGUGACGACUUUGAAAGUCGACUAUGUUGUGUGUCUGUUGCAUAAGCUGGUUUAACAGCGGAGCAAUUUUUAAUAAAGACAAUGUUUAACAUAA